AGUGAACGCUGGCGGUAGGCCUAACACAUGCAAGUCGAACGGCAGCACAGUAAGAGCUUGCUCUUACGGGUGGCGAGUGGCGGACGGGUGAGGAAUACAUCGGAAUCUACUUUUUCGUGGGGGCUAACGUAGGGACACUUACGCUAAUACCGCAUACGACCUACGGGUGAAAGCAGGGGAUCUUCGGCCCUUGCGCGAUUGAAUGAGCCGAUGUCGGAUUAGCUAGUUGGCGGGGUAAAGGCCCACCAAGGCGACGAUCCGUAGCUGGUCUGAGAGGAUGAUCAGCCACACUGGAACUGAGACACGGUCCAGACUCCUACGGGAGGCAGCAGUGGGGAAUAUUGGACAAUGGGCGCAAGCCUGAUCCAGCCAUACCGCGUGUGUGAAGAAGGCCUUCGGGUUGUAAAGCACUUUUGGUGGGAAAGAAAAGCAGCAGGUUAAUACCCCGCUGUUCUGACGGUACCCAAAGAAUAAGCACCGGCUAACUUCGUG
RNAcentral lists this ribosomal RNA (492 nucleotides) under uncultured bacterium. RNAcentral describes it as "partial 16S ribosomal RNA". It matches the Rfam family "Bacterial small subunit ribosomal RNA", at positions 29 to 507 of the family's 1533-position model. The record is from RNAcentral.